Long non-coding RNA from Microplitis demolitor, 4191 nucleotides. RefSeq lists it as uncharacterized. Lineage: Eukaryota; Metazoa; Arthropoda; Insecta; Hymenoptera; Braconidae. The record is from RefSeq and is a predicted model, not a curated record. The transcript has 10 exons.
CUAGAUGACCAUCUAGCCUCCGUGGUUACUUUGAUAUGAAAAAUCGUUAUUUUUAUAGCUUGUUAAUUUAAUAAUAAUUAUAACAAUAAUAAUAAUAAUAAUAGUAUUAAUAACAAUAAUUUUAUUUAUCACUAGGAAAGUGCUUUUGUACUCCUGAAAUUAACUAAUUUUUUUUUGGAAGUUCAGCUUUGCUUAUUGUUAAAGGCUGAUUAAUAAUAAAAAAGAGUAGGAAGCUCCGAGAUCUUGUUUCCAAGUGGAAUGGUAAUUUAGAUGCUAUCGAUGAAAAUAGUGGUGAUAGUCAAACCAAUUAUCUAAAUUAGUGGCAUUAAAUCUGUGUUCAAUAUUAUAUUAAUAAAAGUAAAGGUGGUUCUACGGAUUAUAGAGUGUCAAGCUUAAUCAUGCGUUAUAUUACUUAAAGGGCACGAAGACAUUCAUUACGAAGAAUUUUAUAUUUGAUACUUCUAUAUGUUGAUAUCAGAUUUUAUAAAACCGAUGCCGAUGAAAGUUAAGCAAAGCUGAUAAAUUUAUGAUAUUCAUGACAGCGGAUCAGCAAGAAGGAGUAAAACCACUUGUCAACCCUGAUGAUUAUUUUGAGUAUUUACUGUUUGCAGUAUCAGAAUUGUACAAAAAAGAUCCACUAAAAUUAAAUUUCGUUUUAGAGUACUAGUGUCGAAACGAUAACGUUACGCACGUAUCAUCGAAUGUCCACGUGGCAAGAUUAUCAGUUCGUCAAGGGACGUUGUUUAAAUUCGUACGACUAGCUAGUGAAAUAUUACCUGCAGGACUAUUUGUGCCAUACUUAAAAAUGAUAGCGUCAUUGGCAUCAUCACCACAAGCAGCAAGACAUGCUUUCAAUUUCUUGAAACCUAAUGGCUCUAGUGGAUCAACAAUACUAUGGGAUCAUUUUUUCAACUCUCUUGACAGAUAUUAUUACAACUUACGUCAAGAAUUGCCGCCAAAUUACGAUACAGUUAAUCAUCAGCACUGUCAUCUAAAAGGAAUCACGCCGCAUGAAGUUAAUGGUCCGGAAGCAGUACUGGAUGUAGUACAAGUUGUCGCUAAAUACGAUGAGAUGUCUCGCAUUGCCAUUUGUGAGCAUCCAGGUUGGAAAGUCAUACCAGCUCUGAUAGGUCUUGCACGCUGUGUAAUGCCUAUACGGCUCAAAAGAGUUCUAGUUCGUACAACAGCUGCUCUACUCAAAUCAUCCGAGAGCUCAAGUACUAUCUGGCAAAGUUUAAAAGUGGCACAAAUUUUGUGUACUAUUCCAACAACCAGCAGUUACCAAUCCCGAGGUAUCCAGACAGAGUUAGAAGAAACUGAAUCGCGUAAUGAAGAAUAUCCAUUAACUCGAUCAAUGUUUGAACUUUUUGAUGCUCUGGUAGACUCUGAUUCUAUGACUACUGGGUGUUGGUCAACGAAACCCAGGCUUUGAUCUUUAUCUCUAUUUUAUUAUUAAAACAGUAUUUCUUAGAUUUAAUAUCCGGUCGUACAAAGAUCCCAAGGAAAAGUGGCUAGUUGCUGAUACCUAUUUAAAGAUUUUCAAUAAAUUGAUCGCACAAUACGAGCCUAAUGUUGAAGAUUUCAUUGGUUAUCGUAUAGAAUUACAAGACGGUGAUUUUACUCUGGUAAAUCCUGAACCUGGAUAUCAUAUAAGGACUCAACUAUAUUCUAUUUCAGAAUUUCUACACGUGAUUCUCUACAUUCUUGACGAAGGUGGUCAUAAUUCAGAAACUUACGACUACUUGCUAAGUAAAGAUAGCUUGGAAAACAGUACAUUCUACUGUCUGAGAAUCCAUGAGCGUGGUCGAAUACAAUUUUAACAGGUUUAUUUAAGCUUUUAUCAGGUGUAAAUCCAAGAACAGAAAAGCCAGACCACAUGAUCAACAUCGCAAUGUAUACGACUUUUAACUUUUAAACUCGUGGUUACCCAAACACGCUUAUUUAUCUAUUGGAAUAAUUCAAGAUUCAAGCAAAUGAGCCUGGAGCAGACUCAGAAUUACUUUCUACAUUUACAUCGACAUCUCAGAUGUCUCUAACAAUCAGACAUGGUUUUGUUGAGUUUCUUGACUUGGAUCCAGUUGACGCUAAUCAAAAAUUGGAAGAAGAAAAAAAUCAGAAUAACUCUGCACCAAUCGCGACAAUGAGGUAAACUACUGGAAGAUACAAACUUCUUAUUGAAAGCAAGAUACAUACGAUAUUUAGAAGAAUUUGCGCUGGUCUAUGUUAUGCGAGUGAAUCUGAUGUUGGAUACAUUAUGUCAUUGGUUUAUCAGAUGGCUUACUCUGAUAAUAAUGCCACUAAUAUGAGCUUAAAAAUUACUUCUUUCAAUGUUGCAUUUGCUACUAAUCCAGGAAAAUUAAACUAGGAUGAUAAAAUUCAAGGAAUAACACUGGGUUCAUUAAUCUUCAGCUAUCUAUUCAGAAAUGUUAUGAAUAGGCGAAUGAUUGGUGGUAUAUUAAUGAAUGUUCCCGGUGUAUUUUUACAACUUUAUUAACCGUAGUAAGUUCAUUUAUUGAGGUAUUUUUUGUAUUUAGUAAAAAUACAAUUUUUUUUAACAAACGCUAUAAAUAAAGCGUUAAAUAACAAAGUGAGAAUAAAUAUGUAAACCGAGAUAAAGUUUGAUAUUAUAGGAUUACGAGGGAAAUCCUGUUUCCACCAUGCUUCAAAACCUACAUUAGAUGAGCGUCGGUUCUUGUGUGCGUUUCAUUAAGUGAUUUGCAUUAUAAAAAUAAUAUUUCAAUAAAAAAAAUUUUAAAUAUUAUAUUUAAAUUAACAUGAUGUUCUUAAUUGAAUGUUUGGAAGAUAAUUCAUUAACUAUUGUACAAGAUGACAAAGUUAUUUGUGACUUAAAAACUGUGGCAAUUGGUGACGUGGUCAAUUUUAUUCACAUAAAAAAAAAUAUGAAGGUGUUGUGAUUGAUUUUUCAGAUAAUGAUGAAGCUUUAAAACUAAAACGAUUGAAAUUAUUGAAAACAAAACCAAAAAUAACUGAUAUUGAUGAUCCUCCGAAAAAUUUGUAUGUCGACAGCACUAUGAAACUUCAUAAAAGACCUCGUAAUUCAGAAUAUAAGUGUAACAAACCAUCAACAAAAAAAUCUAAAAUAACAAAAAAUAGUAGCUUUCAUAAAUCAAAAUUAUUAAAAGCUAAUGAUUCAAAUACUUCUGUUGAAUCCGAACAGUCAGAUUAUUCAGGACUUGAUAUUUCCUCUGGUAAAGAAAGUGAAUCUUCACCAAAAUCUUCUAAGGUUAACGAUAAAAUAAAUCAAAACAAAAAAUCUGAUAACAGUCCACAAAAAAUUACAAAAAGUACAACUCCUACAUUUGAGAUUGACGAUAUUAACACUUCUGCUUCUAAUGACAUAACUAAUUUAAAAUUAAAAUCUCGUGAAAAUAGUUCAUUAUACUUGAACUCCGAUUUAAAUCGUCGUUUAUCACCGGGAAAAUCUCUUAACAAAACAAAAAUGCCUUCGGAAAUGGACAAUGACGAUUCUAGUACACAAAUGUCUCAACAAUCUCUAAAUAAACCUGAGGCACAUGAUGGUAAUGAUAAUAAUCAUUUUGAUAAUGACGAUGAUGAUCAUCAGCUAUAUGGUCCUACUUAUAAUAACAAUAAGAUGGUAAAUAUUGGCAAUAACGUGUACUGCGUGUCUAGAGUUCAUUCCAUGGCAAUUAAUGAUAAAAAAUCGGCACAUUUAAUUGCCCGUACACUAAUUUCUGGGGUUUUUAAAAUUAAAGCAAUUUUAAAAAUUACUUUAUCAGGAAGAUCUCCCAGAGCUCAAGGUCGAGAUUGAAUGGAACAAGAUACAGAAGUUAUGAGCAUGAGAGCUAAAGAAGCAAUUAUCGCUUAUUCAUUGAAAUUAGUUAAAGAAAAGGAUACAAAGGAAAGUCGAAAAAUAAUAAUAGCGGCAAUGCGACAAAAACUUGUGGAAUUGAAGAAACAAAUACGUGAUAAUAAUGAUUUGAAUAAUAAAAAAAAAAGCAAUGGGCAUCAGGCAGUUGACUGUUAAAAAGAUGCAGCUGAUCAAGAAUAAGUAAGAAAGUAAGAUUUAAGUAAAAAGAGACAAUCUCACAAAAAUUUUCACUCUAUUUGAGCAGUUAUUAUAAGAAUUUUUUAAAUAUUUUUUUAUUAUUGAUUAUUUUUUUUAAAUAUUAUGCAUAGUUGAUGUUAUAUCAUUACUGGUCGAAAAAUCAU